UGGGGAAUAUUGGACAAUGGGCGAAAGCCUGAUCCAGCCAUGCCGCGUGGGUGAAGAAGGCCUUAGGGUUGUAAACCCCUUUCAGCGGGGAAGAUAAUGACGGUACCCGCAGAAGAAGUCCCGGCUAACUCCGUGCCAGCAGCCGCGGUAAUACGGAGGGGACUAGCGUUGUUCGGAAUUACUGGGCGUAAAGCGCACGUAGGCGGAUUUGUAAGUCAGGGGUGAAAUCCCGGGGCUCAACCUCGGAACUGCCUUUGAUACUGCAAAUCUCGAGUCCGGAAGAGGUGAGUGGAAUUCCUAGUGUAGAGGUGAAAUUCGUAGAUAUUAGGAAGAACACCAGUGGCGAAGGCGGCUCACUGGUCCGGUACUGACGCUGAGGUGCGAAAGCGUGGGGAGCAAACAGG
RNAcentral lists this ribosomal RNA (404 nucleotides) under Bacillota bacterium. Its description in RNAcentral is "Firmicutes bacterium partial 16S ribosomal RNA". It matches the Rfam family "Bacterial small subunit ribosomal RNA", at positions 355 to 776 of the family's 1533-position model. RNAcentral also lists the same sequence under 2 other names. Lineage: Bacteria; Bacillati; Bacillota. The record is from RNAcentral.